RNAcentral lists this ribosomal RNA (3492 nucleotides) under Triticum aestivum (bread wheat). RNAcentral describes it as "partial small subunit ribosomal RNA". Lineage: Eukaryota; Viridiplantae; Streptophyta; Magnoliopsida; Poales; Poaceae. The record is from RNAcentral.
AUGCCGGAUCCGGUUAGCAUUACUGCUGCUGUAGGAUGGGGCGUUACCGCACUAGGUUGGCUUGCCUCGCCCAUCGUUCCCAGAAUCCUCAACAAAGGUUUCGCCUUCCUCGGCUUAAACGCGGCGGAGAAGCUCAAGAUAAUCGACACACAGGUUGUACAACUGCAGCGGGUGAUGGAAGUGGUCGACGAGAGCACUUACAGGCUUCGCUUGGAGCCACUGUUAAACGACCUCAGAUCCGCUGUCUACGAAGCCGAAGACAUCUUGGAUAGUGUCGAGUAUCAGCGUCUCAAGAAGCAGAUCCAAGAUGCCAAGUCACAAGGAAGUACGCCUCCAUGUAAGAGGGAUUGGCUGAAGAAGAAUAUUCUUCCGUGUGCCAUGCCGAGCUCCCCAUUCAAAGACAAGGACAGUGGUUUGCCAAAAGUACAGUUGGAGAAGAGCCUAAAGAAGAUAGAAAGCGCCAUAAGUGGUGCAUGUAAAGUUUUGGAACAACUGAACUUGCCAGGCGUAACUAAUGAUAAUGGGAGGCGAGCUGUUGCUACCAAUUCAUGCUGUGCAGUCACUACUGCAGCCCCUCCAAUAGCAGUAUUUGGUCGGGAUCAGGAUCGUGACAAGAUCAUAGCAAUGCUUCAUGAGAAGGAAGACCAGUGUCAAGCAAACAUCGUCAGUGGUAUAUGUUAUUCAGUAAUUGGCAUUCAUGGCGUCGCGGGGUCUGGGAAAUCAACACUUGCACAAUGUGUUUAUGAUCAUGAGAAAAAGCGUAGGCAAGAAAAAAUGGAAGGCCAUUUCGAUAUUGUCAUGUGGAUUCAUGUUUCUCAGAAAUUUGAUUUGGAUUCCAUUUUUAGGGAGAUGUUUGAGGGGGCUACAGGGAAAGCAUGCAAUAACUUCAAUAAUCGUAACACCCUGAAGGAAAAACUGGAGGAUGAACUACGUCGGAAACAGAUUUUGCUGGUACUGGAUGAUGUCUGGUACGACGGUAGGAAUUCGGGAGACCGUGAAGAACUACAGAAGUUAAUUUCCCCUCUGAAUGUUGGAAAGGAAGGAAGCAGAAUCUUGGUGACAAGUCGAACUGAAGCUGCAUUAGUAGCUCUGGGUUCUGUCAAGGAGAGGCGUAUUCCCAUAUCUAACCUGGACGAUGAAGUGUUCCUUGAAAUGUUCUUGCAUUAUGCACUUCGGGAUGCAAGGGUAAGUGACCAUGAUAGAAGUACACUUAAAAUGAUUGGAGAGGACAUUGCAAAAAAGCUGAAGGGAUCACCUCUAGCAGCCAGAACAGUGGGUUCACGGCUCCGUGAGACACAAACUGUUGAGUUUUGGAGGAGUCAGAAAGAUCGGGACCUUAUGAAUGACACGAUGGGAGCUCUAUGGUGGAGCUACCAGUAUCUUGAUGAGCAGGUCAGACGAUGCUUCGCUUACUGCAGUAUUUUUCCCAGGGGGCAUAAGUUGAGACGUGAUGAGUUAGUAAAGUUGUGGGUGGCAGAAGGGUUUAUAAAGACUAGUAAGCCCGAAGAGGAAAUGGAAGAUGUUGCUAAAAAUUAUUUUGAUGAAUUGUUGUCAUCCUCAUUUCUGCAAUUCAGAGGGAAAGAAAAGGUAUAUGAAACUGGACAUGAUCGUGAGGUUGAUUACUUUACAAUUCAUGAUCUGCUUUGUGAUUUAGCAGAGGAGGUUGCUGGGAAAGAUUGCUUCAGGAUAGAGAAAAACUUCAGAGGAAAAGUUCCUCUAGGUGUCCGCUAUCUUUUUGUUGGGACUUGUAAUAUUGAGGUGCUUACUGAGAAAAUAUAUGGGUUGCAAAAUUUGCGCACUCUCAUCAUUGAUGGCAAGAUAAAUGUUGAAUCAGACAAGCACAAAGCCUUCAAGAGUAUGUUCGCUAUGUUCACAAGGCUGACGAAAUUACGGGUACUGAACUUAAGCGUCACUCCAAAUAAUCACACAUUCUCAUUCCCAGAUUCUAUUGGUGAUUUGAGGCAUCUGCGUUAUUUUGCUUUCUGGGUGUACGGAAUGGUCAAGCUAACUUUACCCGGCACCUUUACCAAGCUUUACCACAUGCAGGUGGCAGAUUUUGGUUUUUGUGGUAGUUUGGUACUGUCUUCUAGUGGUGAAGAUAUGAUGAACCUAAUCAACUUGCGCCAUGUAAUCAGCAAGGCAGAUCUGCAACUUGCAAACAUUGGCAGGUUGAUAUUGCUCCAAACGCUACCAUUCUUUAGAUUUAGGAGGGAACGGGGCUAUGAGUCACAUCAGCUGAAAGACCUGAACAAGCUUCAAGGCAAGCUGCUGAUUUGUGGUCUUGAGAAUUUUGAGAGCAAGGAGGAAGCUCUUGAAGUCAAUCUUGCUGGCAAGGAAAAACUCACAGAACUGGUACUUCAGUGGGAUCUUGAUCAGAGCUGCAGUCCAGAGGUUCAAGCAGAGGUACUUGAGGGUCUUUGCCCAUCAAAGUAUAUUGAAAGACUAGAAAUCCGGAAUUACCACGGUAGAAGGUUACCGAGUUGGAUGAUGGGUAAGCAUAAAGGCAGCCCAAAGAACAUGAAAGAGCUUAGCUUCAUCGGAUGGAUCCAACUGGAACCUGCUGCUGAACUUGGGGCUUUCAUUCAUCUUCGCUCUCUACAUGUUGCUAGCUGUAGCUGGGAUGCCUUACCAGGCAAUAUGGAGCACCUCACAGCGCUCAAGCAACUACAUAUACGGUCAUGCGAGAAUAUACGGUCACUUCCAACACUACCCAAGUCUCUUGAGGAGUUUAACGUCUUAAACUGCGGCUUGGAUACCUUACCAAGCAAUAUGGAGCACCUCAAGAAGCUGGCUAUACGUUCAUGCAAGAAUAUGCAGUCGCUUCCAACACUGCCCAAUUCUCUUGAGGAGUUUACCGUCUCAGACUGCAGUAGGGAUGCCUUACGAGGAAAUAUGGAGCACCUCACAUCGCUCAAGAAAUUUGAGAUCUGGAGUUGCAAGAGUGUGUCGUCGCUCCUAACACUGCCAAAGUCUCUUGAGGAGUUUACAGUCGCCUGCAGCAGCUUCAGUGUCUUGCCAGGCAAUAUUGAGCACGUCACAUCACUCAAAAAACUGAAUAUAGAGUCAUGCGAGGAUAUGCGGUCGCUUACAACACUGCCAAAGUCUCUUGAGGAGUUUAUCAUCCUAUACUGCGGCUUGGAUACCUUACCAGGAAAUAUGGAACACCUCACAGCGCUCAAGAUACUGAAGAUCAGAAACUGCAAGAAUAUGCGGUUGCUUCCAACACUGCCCAAGUCCCUUGAGAGGUUUAUCAUUGCGGACUGCGGCUUGAAUGCCUUACCAGGCAAUAUGGAGCAACUCACAUCACUCAAGACGCUGGAGAUAGAUUCAUGCAAGAACAUGUGGUCGCUUCCAAAACUGCCCACGUCUCUUGAGGAGAUUACAGUCAAUUACUGCAGUGACGAGUUCACACAAUCUUGUGUAACGACUGAUGAUCCAAACUGGCAGAAGAUUGAGCACAUUCCAAAGAAAACAAUUACAUUCUGUAGUUAA